Tachysurus fulvidraco (yellow catfish) is the source of this 2659-nucleotide long non-coding RNA. RefSeq lists it as uncharacterized. The record is from RefSeq and is a predicted model, not a curated record. The transcript is spliced from 3 exons. Lineage: Eukaryota; Metazoa; Chordata; Actinopteri; Siluriformes; Bagridae.
GCAGAGUGAAAUUCUUUCUUCGCAAACUUUGGAGGUUGGGGUCAGAGCACAGGGGCAGCCAUGAUACAGCCCCCCUGGAGCAGAGAGGGUUAAGGGCCUUGCUCAAGGGCCCAACAGUGGUAGCAUGGUCACUUGUGGACUUAUAAUAUGAAGGCUUGUCCGAUGAAAAGAAAAAAAAAGGAGGCAAAUAUAACUGGAAGCACCCUUAUAACAGAUAUGUAUAAAUCAAUAGACGCUAUCUAGGCAGAUAACCAGCAGAAUAGAAAAUGGGUGUGGCUUCUUAUAGAUCUAUUUCUACUAACAUAUCUACAAUACUAACAUAAUGUGUGGGAAACUUCACUUGAUAUUAAGUAUUUGCUUAUAAACCUGUUGUAUACUUUUGUAUACUUUAGUCAAAUGAGCAAAUGGUAAAAUGUCCAUCUUUAAUCAAUACAAAUUGUAACCCUUGCUGAAUUGGAUGUGAUGUUAUAGGUAAUUAAUCAUUGUUCUUCCUCUUCUGGCUUAGUAAUUAACAGGUUUGCCUUGCACCUUGAUUCCUGAGUUUGCAUGUUUCCCUUGUGCUUCAGGGGUUUCCACUGGGUACUCCAGUUUCCUUUACCAACGUCAUCUGCAUUAGAGCAACAGACCAGUAGAUCAGCUCCCUUGAACUGCAUUCAUUCCUAUUCCCAGGUAUCUUCCAGUGCAGUUAAGUAGAGACUGGCUAGCAUGCAGGUACUCUUCAAAACUGUGACUCUGGCUUUUAACCAUCCGCACUGGGAGCUAUUAGCCUCGCUAAUCCUUAGCCAGCCGUCAGUCGAGCCGUGACUCUCUGCAGGUGGACGCAGCUGGGGAAGCCGUGAAGGUGGUGAGAUCAAGCUGCUGUUAGACCUUGGGUUCAGCGAUGGAUUUGCUACAGGAGCCGUUUUAUAGGGAUUUCUCCUAGUCAGGAUUAGCAAACAUCAUGAUAGUGCAAGGUUUUGAUCCUGAUCUUUGGCUAGUGUAUGCAAUCCUGGUUUCCUCACAUCUCAGAGACACUCAGCUCUACCAUCCUUUGAAACCCAACCCCAUCCUUGCUCACUAACUGUGUCUCAAUACGUGCAUUGAUGCUGUUAAAUCCUGGACGGCUAUCAAUUUUCUUCAAUUAAACGAGAAUAAAUAAGAUCUUAUUCUCUUUGGUCUAUCCAAAUCUACUACUACUCUAUUAAAUUGUUUGGAGUAGGCUACUGGCACGGGGAUGUUGGACCACGGGUGAAGAAUCUUGGUGUUUUAUUCGAUUCGAUUGUGAUCUUAUAUUUGAUCAGCAAAUCAACUCUGUGGUAAGUUUACUUUUGAUCAACUUACAGUGAUUUCUAAAAUCAAGUUAUUUCUCUCUUUGCAGGACUUUGAAAAACUUAUUCAUGCUUUUAUUUCAUCUUAAAUAGAGACCACAUCAACUUAGUUUUCUGGCAUUCUUGCACUGGCUCCCUGUCCAAUAAAGGAUCCAGUUUAUAGUUUUUUCUGUUUGUUUUUAAAGCUUUUAUUGGUCUAGCUCCCACCUACCUCUGUGAGUCAUUAUUCUGCUCCCAGGAUUCUAUUUGAGAUCUUCAGUCAAGUUGCGAUUGGCUGUUUCACAGUCUUGGCUGAAGGCUAUGUGCUUCUUAUAUCAUUAUUAGUAAUUGAAGGCUAAAAUCAAAUCUUACAAAUUAGCAUUUUAAUCUGUUUGGUUGUGUCAUGUAUCAGUGCUUUUCAUGUUUUGUGUUUAUGUUUGUUUGUUUGCUUGCUUUUCUUACCCUUUUUUAUUUUUUAAAUUACUUUCUUAAUUAUGGAUAUGUCCCUGUUGUUCUCCAAUGCUCUCUCCACUGUGGCCAGGAGUCCCUAGGCAGAGAACCAACCUUGCCACUGAGGGGUUAACUCUCAUUGCUGGUCCCAAGCCUAGAUAAAAUAGGAGAGUUAAGUCCGGAAGGGUAUCCGGCGUAAAAACCUGUGCCAAAAACUCAGGUAUGCGGAUGAUCUGACCAGGAUAAAGCUGUUGCAGUGGUUGAAAUGAAACUCUGGUCACUGGAGUUGACUUUGAAAUGUAAAAAAGAUGGAAGCCUUUUUUAACGCCUCUCUUUUGGCUAUUGCUGCUGCAUUCUGUGAGACUUUUUUGCUGCACCAGAGAUUUAUCAAGGAAGUACUGACAUCCUCUUCAACUCUAUCAGCAUCUUUCGUCCUGUCGCUCUUGCUCCAUUUGUCUUCUUGUACCAUUCAUUCUACUUCAUGACAUAUACUUGUCUAGACAUGAUCUGAAAGAGUAACACGCCAGACACCAGACACUCUUAGAUUAAUUUGCUCUCAUAUUACAGUGGUCUGUAAAUCUCUUCUGAACUCAGUAUUUUAACUUCCGAGCGUUUUUCUCACCUGCCUGAGUGCUUGUAUUGUGCACAUAUGGUAUGCAUGCAUUGUUAAAUACAGUAGAAGACUUUUCUGAAUGGAUAAAUCACAUGACUGUAAUCUGUAAUCUGAAACCAGGCUGAAAUGAUGGAAUUGAUUAGGACUAAAAUCCCAGAGAUUCUCUGCUUAUAAUGACAUUUCGAAUCAAAUGGAUUCACUUACAGUAAUUCAAAUUGAUUCACUUGAUACAAAUUGAUUCAACUCAUUUAAAUGGAGUCUUCUGAUUCAAAUUGUUUUACUUGAUUCAAAUAAAUUCAUCCUUUUCAAA